Molecule: long non-coding RNA, 6473 nt
Filed under: Panax ginseng (ginseng)
Lineage: Eukaryota; Viridiplantae; Streptophyta; Magnoliopsida; Apiales; Araliaceae
Description: long non-coding RNA (PGIN_LNC010330)
Source: RNAcentral
AAAAAAACUUAUGUUUUCCGUCGAUUUCUUUUCUUUUGUGUUCAUUUUAAAACUCAGAAACAGAGCAAAGCAAGCCUUGUCAGAUAAUUGAAAGAAACAAUCUAUGAAAUUACUCCCCUGCUCACUCUCAUACUCCGCUCAUCCUCCGUCUGUUACAAAGUAAUUCCCAGCCAACUCUUCCUAUUCACAAGCUAUCAACACCAAGCCAAUCCAAUUAUGACGAAAAUUACCAAGAAUGUUAGAAGAAAUUGGAACUAACAAUUGAAUUUGGGGAGAUUAGAAAUCAAUUGCAGCAAGAAGAAUUGCAAAUUGUCCAUCACCAAACUAGGAUUGCAUCGGUUGUUACAUAUUGAAAGGUAUGUUAUGCUUCCUUGAUUAAUUCAUGGAAAUUUAGGUAAUUAAUACUUGUUAUUGUUGUGCUUGGUUGUGAUAUUGUAUGUGAUAAAGAUAAUAGGUGAUUUCUGGAGUGAUAAGGGUGGAUUUUGGUGAAAAUUUAUGGCUUAACAAUGUAUAAACAACUCUGAAAUUCUGGAUUUUCAGCCAGCCCUUGCAUGUAUGAUGUUUGAUUAAAUACCUCAAAGAGGUUCACAUGCUUAAAAAUUGAUAAUUGAGCAAAGCUUGGAACUAAGAGAUAUGUAUAUAUGAGUUAUAUGAUAACUCUAAUAAUUCAAGAGUACUAAAUCAAGUUUAACAUUGAGUUUCUAAGUUUUCUAUUAUAAUGGACUUGAAUGAAAAAUGGGGUGGCAGAGCCUUUUCAAGCCUCUAUAUCUAUGCCUUAUAAAGCUCGUUUUAGCUAUGUUAUAUUUUUAUAAAAAUCUAUGUAGUACCAUCUAGAACAUAUUAAAAUUUGAAGGCAAUCGGAUGUAUGCAUUGCCCAUUACAAAAUUGCAAAGUAGCUAAGAAGUUAAGCUGAUUUCUAUGCGGCAGUAGCAGCGCAGCAGCGCUGGCGCCAGGCGCAGUGUGCUGGCUGCCAGGCCAGGCCAGACACAACGUUUCGUUUUCAAUUCCAAUUGCGACCUUAAAAUUUCACCUUUAAUUCAGUAUUUGUUCUCAUUCCUUGGUAUUCAAUUUUUUUUAAUAUAUAUGUUCGAAUUAUAUCAGAGUUGUAAUGACAGAAAUUCAAUAUGAUAUUUAAAAAAUUGCCAGUAUAAUAUUUACAUAUCAUAUUGAAUUUCUGUAUCAUUAGAAGAGUUAUUAGUGAUAAGUUUGCAACACAAUGGGAUGUGAGUUUUUCUGCACACAUGACUAAAUCAUUUGUGCGAUAUGCAUUUAUAAACGAUAUCAGGAAAUGUUUUUGUGGCCUCAUAUUAUUUGAGGAAUUUCACGUAACUUCUUAGUAUAUAUAACAUGGAAUUUAUUUAUUUAUUUUACUUUGGCUGUCUAAAAUAUGAAAGUUUUACCACAACUGUUUUUGACUCUAUUCUGAAGCAAGCAUGAGAAAUAAAAAAAACUCUACUUGGUAAGAGCAUGCUAUUGCAUAUUCUCACGUAGAAGCUCAAAUUGCAUGCACCCACUAAAGGGCAACCACCAAGGCACUUAAAACUUUUGGUUUAUAUCUAGAGUAAAAUAUGUUGACACCAUCCUUUUAGUUUUUUAAAUAACUGUCAGUACUCCUCUAGUUUACAAUAUGUAACAUUCACUAGCCCUAGUGUGGUUGACCAACUAAUAUCCGAAAAUAUUUUUAAUAUAAUGUCUAAUAUACCCUUAAAAUUAUAAUGUUUAAUAUAUCCACUAAAUAUAAAUUUGUAUAUUAUAAUUUUUACUUAACUUGAUCUAAUUGAUUAAAUUAUGAACUUGUGCAAUAAAUAACAUAAAUGUCAAAAAAUAAUAAAUAUUCAUUUUAUCAGGAAAAUAAAGUCACUUUUUGCUAAUUAAAUUUCUCAAAGAUAAAAAUUUACGUAAUAUACAUUCAAAUAUAUUUUUUUUGUAAUUAAAAGGUAAAAAUUUAAUACCCAUAAAAAGUAUAAAUUAAUGCAAAAUAAUUAUAAUUAUUUUUUCCAAAUAUUAAAAUUUACGUAAAACAAAUUUAUUAUUAUAGAACGAACUUAUUAUUCAUAUGAAAAAGUAUAAAAAUUAUAUUAAUUAUUCUUCUCAAAUAUUAAACUAAACAUAAGUCACACUUAGGCAUAAUUAUUUACAGUAAAAAUGACAAAUGUUGGUACUCUAAAAAAGAAAAAAAUAUAUUAAAUGAAAAAUCUUUUUACAAGAUAGAGCUAGUAAUAAAUAUUAGGGAACUGAUAUUUUCACAUAAAAAAUUGAUAUUCCACAUGAUCUCUCUCACUUGAAUAGUGAGUGGUUCCCACCUCCAUUUGAGAGACUCAUGUGGAAAUAUCAUUUUAAUAUGUGAAAAUAUCUAUUUCUCAAAUAUUAUUAUAUUUUCUUUUAUUUAACAUUGUACAAAAACAAAACCAAUUGUAUACUAAAAAAUGUAAUCAAAAUCAUAAACAUCCCAAAUUUUGACAUAUACUCAAGAAAAUUUAACAUAUAAAAAUCAUAAUAUGAAAGUAAGAAUUCAAAUAAUAAUUUUUUUCGUUAAACACCAAAAACUAAACUAUCAACAUACUCAAUCACUCUUAGAACAACUCAAUUAAUAAUUUAAUUUAAAAUAUUUAAUAUUUGUAUCACUUAUCCAAAAAUAUGUGCUAAUUAAACUAAAUGAGUUUUUAUAUAAGUUACCAACAAAACAAAACUAUAAUUAAAAUAUAUUGUAUUAAAAAGGAUAAUUAAACAUAUAUUAUUUAGGAAUUACAAUUUGAUAACAUACCAAGGUAAAUAUGUAACUUUAUCUAUUUAGUCAACCCUAAAAAUACUAGUUGUUACUUAAAAAGUUAGAGGGGAUGUGAGUGUUAUUAUAGUUAUCUAGAGAGGGUGUCACUGUAUUUUACUCUUAUAUCUAUUAAACAUGGGCAUAUGUGAGUGCAAUGUUUAUAUACAAGUCGAUCACUUUCCAUCUUAGCACAGUGUGGUUUAGUAUUUUAGUUUUUUUGCCACAUUGACAUUCAAAUUGGCAUGUAGCUAAUGUAUAUAUUUUUGACAACAUAUUUGUGUUCAAAGUGAUUGCUGGCUUUUCCUCUUCAUUAUAUUUUGUCAUAUGUUCGCGUGGUUGUUACCCUAGCGCUAUGCAUUAGGGUCAUUGAGUGAUUGAUUCUUCCAUGAUAGUUUCUGUUUUCUUUUAUUACUUGCAAAAUUAUAAUUGAAGCAUUGGGAUGUUGCUUGUGUAUUGGUUGCAUCCACUGUGUUUUAAUGCUCGAGGGCAAUUUUAUUUAAUUAGAUUCAUAUGUCAUUUACACUACAAAAAAAUGGACAUUCGACAACGAUUUUUCGGGCAACGACUUAUAAAAUCGUUGCCAAAAAUGCAUGUUUAGCAAUGAAAUUUGUCAUUCGUUACAGUUUCUGAAAGGCUUCCAUUUUUCGUAACAAAAUUCAUAGGUCGUUGCAAAAUUUCGUUGUCAAUUUGUUGGCGGGAAAAAAACAAUUUCCUACCUAUUUAAUUUUUUGUUGCCGAUGUGAUUUUUCCUCAUCGUGGGCAACGAAAAAAAUUUUGUUACUAUAUUUUGUAGCCUAAUAUGAAUCACAUUCAUUGUCAACAAUUUUUUUUCGUUGCGUAUUUUAUACAAUUUUGUAGGACUAGUAAAUUGUUACCCAAAAUUUAGAUAAACCCAAUAAGUACGUUUUGAACUUUUUUUUCCCAAACGCAUCAUUUUGCAUUUAAAAAUUAUUAUUUAUUUGGACGCAAAUUUAUACAUUCAAAUGUUUCACUCCCCUCAUCUCAAAAUAAAUGCCUAGUUUUACUUUUCUUUUUGUCAGAAUUAUAAUUUUUGAAAUUAAAAUUGAGCAAAUAUAGAUAUAUUUUCUAAUUUAUGAUGAAGUUUAAAUUAUUAUAUUUUAGUUAAAAAUUAUAACUUCACAACGGUUAAAUCAUACCAAACUCACCUUACUUGUCACUAUUUUUUUUGGAAACUGAUAAAUCCACAACAGAAAAUGAUGUUUCCACAUAAAAACCUUUGCUAUAGAUCCUAUAGUACGAGUUUCACCAUCGCUAUACAUCUAUAGUGAAACUUUUCAUGUGUCAAAAAGUGUUGUGGAAAUAUCAAUUUCCUUUUUUUUCUCACUUCUUAUUCUUAUUUUUUAAUCUUUUCUCAUCCAUAUUUUUUUAAGUUUUAUUCAAAUAUUUUAAUUUUGUUAAAACUACACACAUAGUUUGUAUAUCACAUAGGCAAGUAUUUAUUAUCGCUAAAAUUUAAUAUUUUUAUCAUUAUAUAAAAAUAUAUUUAGAGAAAUUAGAUAUAAAAAAAAGUAUAUUCGAGAGGAGAUGAUCAAGAAAUAACAUUAUGUUCGUAACCUUUUUCAUCUUCCCUGUUCAUACUAGCUUUGUGACCAAUUCCCGUCCCGUGUUGCUGUUUUUUAUCAACUCGAUCAUGGAAGACUAGCGUUUUCAUAUUCUCGCAGUCAACAAGGUAUUUUUUUUAAUUCUUAUACUGGUGACCUAUGUAAUGGAUAAAGCUUGAUUGAUUUUUUUUAUUUCCCUAAAUUUGUUCUUUGUUUUGGCUUACUAUUUACUAUGCGUAAUAGUUUAGAUAUUCGUCCCUUCUUGAGUGUUGAUAUUUAGUAUACCCUCAUGGUGUUUGUCAUCAUGCCGGAAAGAAAGCAGACUGAGUAUGGUAUGGAGUAGUAUAAUUUCUAUCUGCUUAUAAAAUUAUGUUCUUGUAGCAGAAUUUGAAUGAUGCCUAUAAAUCAAAUUUGAAUGAUGACUAUAAAUUCAUCAAUCCUUUUGUCAUUUCUAUGCCUUUUUUGCUUGUUGCUGCCUUAUUUCAUAUGUACUUUUUCAAUUCUGUUGUUAAAAGUUUGUGUUUAAGUUGACCAUAUGGUUCAGAAGCUGCAAUACCGUGGAUAAGAGCUUACUUAUCCACACGUGCGCGCACACACAAUAGAAAAAAGAGGGUCCAAUAGUGGUGCCCUAUUAAUGGGUCUGAAGUCAAAUUGUCUUAUAGCUCCUUUUCAAUCAGAAGCUAAGCAUAGUGAUGCUUGCUUGGGCAUUCAAUUUGAGUGGAUAUCUAACACCAUUGAGAAUUGAGUUUUUAGCUGAGUAAUUUACAUUUGAAUUUUUAAGUUGUAGUCCAUAUAUGCCAACUUUUCUGCCAAAUGGAACCUUUGAACAGAACUUAACAUAAGUUGUUACUAGUUGCAGGAUUUUUCAGUGGUUUAUCUAAAUUAUUAGUUCCUUUAUUCCAUUUAGUAUUUGUAGAUAUUUUUGUCAUUCAGAGGUUGUUGCUACACCAGAUUCUAGUGAUUCUGGGAGCAAGUCUCUGCCAGAAAAGACGGCAAAAAAAUUGUAUGUCAUGAAGAUGAUUCAGGAAAAAAGAUUGAUGCCUCAUUUUUAGGUCAAAAUCAUAAUUUGUUACCUAAAUAUGUUGAUGCCACUAACAUGGAUGUAUAUCAAGAGUACCGCAGCCAAGUGAUGGCCAGCGAGGUAAACCUCAUUACCAGAUUUUGCACUGUGUGUAAAAUUAUAAAAAAUUAUAUGUCCACGUAUAUAUGUAUGUAUAACCACUGUGUGUAAAAUUAUAAAAAAUUAUAUGUCCACGUAUAUAUGUAUGUAUAACCAAUUCUCUUUGAUGUAUGUUUGAAGGGCUUUGAUGUGAACGACUUCAUUCCAUUGUUUGAUGGCCAGAUAACACCACUUGAUAAUUCUAAGCACUCUCGUAAUUUGGUUUGUGCUUAUGUUGAGUUAGCAUUAUCUGAUUACAAGUUGCUGCAGGUGAGUUUGGGCCUCUUUUGAACCGGAUAGCAUAAUAAACUAGCUAGAACUGCUCAUUAACAUUGUUCAUAGUUCAUAGGAAUAUUUAGUAAAUUCUGGGAUUAUUUGGCAAUUUUUCUUCACUUUAAUUUGUCCUCUAUUGAUACUUUUCCAAAACAAAACUAUUUAUCAUUGAUGUGCAUUUGUAGGCUAUGACCUCAGGAGAGAUACAUAUGGAGUUUUUGGAGGUAUAUAAAGCAAAUGUACAAGCUAACCCAGCAGACAUGGUUAGAAUGCUUUUCAAGGCUAAGCAUGCAAACUUUUAUAUCACUUUCUUGGUUAAGAACAAAAAAGAUGGUUCAAUUCAGACUUUACAAACUUUGGUUUGAAGACGUGUUGAUAAAAUGGCAGUUUGAAUGUCCAAAUAAGGUCUGUGAGGGUGAAGCCCACCUUUGAAGGUAAGGCUAAUUAACAAAGGUUCUUUAUUCUACUGAUUCAAGUAUGUUUGAUCUCUGCAUAGUUUAAUAGCUACUUAUGUACGUAUAAUGUAUUCUCUAUUUUUGUGUCUUUUGUCUGAGAAAACUAGCAUAGUAUGUGUGUAAUGAUGUACUACAGUUUUUCUUAUAAGAACAUCUUUGCUCCUAUAAUGCUAUGAGCUUUAAUCGGGUCUGUUGUACUUCUUUUAUUUCUUGAUUUGAAUGCUGAAAUGUAAGUUUAUUGCCAAAUAGUUGGAUUG